Molecule: long non-coding RNA, 255 nt
Filed under: Hordeum vulgare
Lineage: Eukaryota; Viridiplantae; Streptophyta; Magnoliopsida; Poales; Poaceae
Description: long non-coding RNA (HVUL_LNC010222)
Source: RNAcentral
UAGUUUAGUUGAUUAGUUUAAUUUAGUCGGUGCUUUAGUUUAGUGGUAGUUUAGUUUAGUUGGUCCUUUUUGUUCUUUUUUUUUGCUGUUUUCCUUUUUAGUUUAGUUUAGUAGGUAUGUAGUUUAGUUUAGUUUAUAAGGAGGAGGAGGAGAAGAAGAANNNGAAGAAGAAGAAGAAGAGGAGGAGAAGAGGAGAAGAGGAGGACGAGAAGAAGAAGAGGAGAAGAGGAGAAGAAAGAGGAAAAAUAAAAAGAA